Molecule: small RNA, 423 nt
Filed under: Pan troglodytes (chimpanzee)
Lineage: Eukaryota; Metazoa; Chordata; Mammalia; Primates; Hominidae
Description: retained intron
Source: RNAcentral
AGAUUCCAUGCAUUGGGUCCAAUUUACUACAGAGAUUCAAAUGGAGCUAUUUUAGUUUAUGACAUAACAGAUGAAGAUUCUUUUCAGAAGGUAAAAAACUGGGUCAAAGAAUUACGGAAAAUGUUGGGAAAUGAAAUCUGUUUAUGUAUAGUUGGUAAGCAUCAUUACUUUUUUCUAAAAAAAAGUCCUCUGUUUCCUUAAUGUUUUAUUGAAGACAAGUAAUUUUUGUUUUAAAGUUAUAUGAGAAAGGAAGAAUGGCAUAUUAAUAUAAAUAUUUUAGAAUAAUUUAGGAUUUAGCCUGGUGCGGUGGCUCAUGCCUGUAAUUCCAGCGCCUUGGGAGGCCAAAGUGGGUGGAUCACUUGAGGUCAGGAGUUCAAGACCAGCCUGGUCAACAUGGCAAAACCCUGUCUCUAAAAAAAAUAC